GGAGCGUACGUUUCGCUUCGUGAUUGCCAUGUGCACAGCACCAUGCAAUAUUUACUCCCCGUCUAGUCGCCAGCGUGCCCAGGCUUUCUCUUUUCGACGCUACAUGCGUAGAAGAAACAGCUGCGAAACGGGUUCCCAAAGGCGAACUUGCGUGGACAACGAUUCUUAACGGGUCCCACAAGAGGCCCUCACCCCGCCCUUUACCUGGUAGCCUGAGCGAAGGAUGAAAAGGUGGGGAACAACGACGACAAUACGGGAGUCACAGUUAAUUAAUUAGACGUUUAACUCGAAUCAAACCACCACCCAUCCAUCAGCGCCUAUCCAGAAGUCAACGCAGCGUGGACAACGAUUCUUAACGGGUCCCACAGAAGGCCCUCACCCCGCCCUUUACCUGGCGGCCUGAGCGAAGGAUGAAGAGGUGGGGAACAACGUCGACGACCUGAGAGGCGCAGGUUGCUUUCUUGCCACGUAUUCCAAACCAGCCUCUUCGGGGGCGGAGUUACUGCGGGUUAUUGCGUGGUAUCGCAACGGAGUCGACGAUGCUGAAUUGCUGCAGGACAGUCUUCAGAUUCCCUAGUCGACUCGCCUAGAGAAGACGACGGGAUUGAAAUCGGAUACUUCGAGAGUGAGGACAGAGGGUCUUGAUGUGAACUCGGACGUUUAACAUGCUCCUGCAUGGAGUGGGCUUCCGUACUGGAGCCGUGUAACUAAGCCAAUAAAUCAUUUUCCUUCAUUUUCUACAA
Molecule: long non-coding RNA, 743 nt
Organism: Dermacentor albipictus
Lineage: Eukaryota; Metazoa; Arthropoda; Arachnida; Ixodida; Ixodidae
Source: RefSeq, a predicted model, not a curated record